RNAcentral lists this long non-coding RNA (18695 nucleotides) under Ananas comosus (pineapple). RNAcentral's name for it is "long non-coding RNA (ACOM_LNC000508)". Lineage: Eukaryota; Viridiplantae; Streptophyta; Magnoliopsida; Poales; Bromeliaceae. The record is from RNAcentral.
AUUCGGAUAUAUAAAAUAUGUAAGUUUGGUAAAAGCAAUAAAUAAUUUACAGUUUUUAAAAUAUGGUAAAUUAUUAAUCGCUUUCUAAAUAUGGCAAAUUAUUUAUCACAUAGAUCUAGUUUUAUAAAUAAAAAUGUUGAAUGUCUAUUUUUAGAAUUAAAAAAAUUCUAUAACCUUGCACACCCAAACACCCCAUUUACAUUUCUUUUAAAUUUUUAAUCUGGAAAAGUAGUAAGAUUAGUUAAAAAAAAAUAUUAGGUCCGAUUAAACCCCACACAUUAUAUGAGUAGGGCGUUUUCAUCCGCCACAUCGAAAUAAUUGAUGGAGAAACUCUCUCUAUUAGAUAAAUAGGGUGUAAUAUGUACACACCUUUUUGCGUAUAUGAGUAGCGUUGCUCAAAGCAAUAAAAAUUAUUACCGAUACACUUCAGUUGAAUAUAUAUCAUCCGUCUCACUCAUUUUAUGAGUAGAGUGUUUACCAAAACUAUCUGUGCACCACAAAUGUAGUUGUAAACCUUACACUAUUUCCAUUUUGGAUUGAAAAGGUCUAAGAUUUACACCCAAAAGCUAAAUAUACAAAUAGCACUUUUCAAUAGAAAAAUUUAAAAAAUGACUUACUACAAAAAAAAAUUAAAUAAAUAAAGUCAUUUUUGCAUUUUGGUGCUUUUUUUUUUUUAGAGAGAGAGAGAUAGGCAGCACGCUACCCGUUUCGUUUAUUUCAUUUAGAAAUAAACUUAGCUAGAAAUGUGAAUCAACUAGGAUUCGAAUUUGGGUCUCGGAUAUCAACCACCAAGCCCUUUGCCACUUGCUCUAGGAAUGGUCAGUUUUUAGUGUUUUUUUUUUAAUCAUUGUGUAGUAUCCUUAUACCUAUGUAUAGGAUGACACGUGCCCCCAUGCAUGCAUGCAUGCAUGCUUAUUCAUCAGAGGGUUGCAACAUCUGCCUCUUUAAUUAACUUUGCAUUUUCUUCUCUCUCUCUCUCUAGAACCGAGUGUGUGCAAGGUGGAGUUCGGGUGGAGUUUCGUCGCCGACGUGGUGCCGCGGAGCCGUUCGGGCGCACGUUGUGUCGUAUUGGUGCUGUGAGGAGCUUGGGCGGGCGUGGAUUUCCGUCGUCCUCGACUUUGCGCCGACUCUUGAGGAUCUAUCGAGGUGAGUGCUCUGUGGAANGGUACUUUGACGCUUCGUAUACAGGGGAAAUUCCUUUGUAUACGGCGGAUUUGUCGGCGUGCCCGGGGAACGAGAUAUCCGGGGCGUGACACAUUGCCCAUCCAUUGGACAAGUAAUGUGUAAGAUAUAUAUUUCUUUUUUGAUGUAUCGGUAACAUUGCUUGAAAGAAAAUACUAUUUAUACACCACAAAAAUGAGUGUGAAUUUUACACCAUUAUUAUAUUAGAUGGGGAGGAUAUAAGAUCUAUACCCAAACGCUAAGUGCACAAGAAGCAUUUUUCAAUAAAAAAUAAAGUGACUUACUAAAAUAAAUAAAUAAAUAAAGGUAUUUCUAAAUUUUUGUGUUUUUUCUUAAUCAUUGUCCAUAGGCUUCAUAACCUUUUUCAUCCUAGCAAUACUAUUAGGUAUCGUUUGGUUCGGGGAUAAGCAAAAAAUAGGUAUUCCAGGGAUAGGUAUAAAUUGAGGUACAAGCGGGCAUUAGAUCAAUUUUACGUUUGGAUGAAAAUUAGGUUAUUUCUGGAAAUAAGAAAAAUAAAGUUUGGUUAGGAAAGAUGGAAUAAGAAUUAAAGUGGGUAGUUAUAAAUAAAAAUUAAUAAUAUUAUUUCUUUCUUUAUAUUAGAAUUUAAAUUUUUAUAUUUUAUAUUUAUAUUUUAAAAUUUAAAAUUUUAACUUUUAAAUUUCAAAUUUUGAAAUUAAAAUUUAAAAUUUAAAAUCUCAAAUUUUAAAUUCAAAAUUUAAAUUUUAAAUUUCUAACUUUAAAUUUAAGAUCAAAUUUAAAUUUGAAAAAAAAUAAAAUCAAAUUUAAAAUUUCAAAAAUUUAAAAUUUUAAAAUUUAAAUUUAAAAUUUAAAAUGUGGAAUUUAAAAUUAUAAACUUUAAUUUUGAGAUUACAAAUUUUAAAUUUUAAAUAUAAUUUAUUAUAAUAUUUUAAAUUUUAAAUUUAUUUAAAUUUUAAAUUUUAAUUUAUUUUAAUAUUUAAAUAUAAUUUAUUAUAAAAUUUAUUAUAAUAUUUAAAUAUAAAUAAUAUGUAUUAAUAUAGCACAAUUAAUAAUUUUAUAAUAAAAAUAAUGUAUUAUAAUAUAUAAUAUAUUAUAUUUAUAUAAUUUAGUUUUAAUUUAUUUUAUAAUUUUAAUUAAGUUUGAAAUUAAGCAUGGGAAUAGCACUAUUCCACCAAAAUGGUGGAAUAGUAAAAAGCUUGCUAUUCCGGAAUAACCGGGAAUAGCAAGCUUUGACCGGAAUAAAAUAUCCCGGUAAAAAAUGAUCCCGUUUGGCGGAAUAGCGGGGAUAACUUUCGUUAUCCCCGCUUAUCCCCCGAACCAAACGGGGCCUUAGUCUACAAGUAUACUCUAAAGUGAAAUAUACAUCUUAUGCUUUUUGAUUUAAGGACCAUAUUUUUCACUUUAUUAUAUCAACUUUUUUUUUUAAUAUGCACGUGCAGGGUUAAGACUCCUGCUGUUAAAAAAUCUUCGGGGUAAAUUCCAUGGUACUAGGUUGGUUUGCUUUUCUUUCUUUUUUUUUUUUAAUAGAUAUGUAGCAUGCUACCCGUUUCGAUUAUUUUAUUUAAAAAUAAAUUUAGCUGGAAAUGUGAAUCAACUAAGAUUCGAAGUUGAAACCUCGGGUACCAAUCAUCCAGCCCUUUGCCACUUGCGCUAGGGACGGUCGGUCUGAUUCGGUUUUCUUGAAAAUGAGAUAAUUACACCAACUUUACUCAAUUUUUUCUAGAAUCCAAUUAUAGUAUUAUUAAUAAUAUGUGAAUAAUAUAUAUUAUAAACUUUUUUACCCGUGAAUGUCUAGGAUUUACAAUUUGGUACAGGUGCUUAUUAUGGGCCUAAAGAUUAAAAAUAAAGAAGUAUUCAACAACUAUUGAUAGUAUUUUAGCAGGGCUCUCCGGCAAUAAUAACUUUUUUUUUUUUUUUCUCAGUUGAACUAUUAACAUUUAUUGUGAUCAAUGUUAGCUCUACAACUCUUUUAAAGGGUUGUAAACUCACAACAUCACCCAUCCAAAGGCCAUUUUUUCAUUUAACUUGUCAUGUUUCUUUUUUUUUUAAAAAAAAAAACUAAAAAUAAAGAAAGAUGAGAUAAACGGUAGGCAUUUGUAGCCCUUGAAUCAAUCUUAGCCCCUACUUUUUCAAAAUUUUGAAAAAAAAUUUGAUGACAUGGAAACCAAAAUGCCAAAUGCUGAUAGAGAGUUAGCCCUCCUAAAGAGUUGAAAUGACCAUAUGCUCUCCGAUGGCGCCAACCCCACUCCCGCAUAUUUGUUGACUUAUUUUAGACUACGAAAUCGAAAUAGGAUCAUUGAUUCCAAUAAUUGUGUUUAUUUUACAAAAAUCGGAUUCUCAUUUCUAUUCCACUCUGAAAAGGGAAUGGUCAAAUCUAUUUAUGGCCCACUCCGGCUUUAAAUUCUAAACUAGGCCACUUCAAAAUAAACUACUCAAAAUUCUCGCUCUUAAUCAAAAUCCUCUCUCAAAAUUCUAAAUUUUUAUUCUGAUUUCCAUUCCAAUAAUAAAUCAAAUAUUUUUGGAUAAUUCAUCAAUCCAUUUCUCAUUCCAAAGAAAUCAAUUUUCAAUUUCUAUUCCUAUUUCACUCAUGAACCAAAUAUGCUCUUAAUGUCGCCCUCUGCACCGACAACCAUCUCAACCUUGGUUUAUUAGACCAAUUUUCAUUCCAAAGAUUUGGUUACCUGAGACUAAUAAUAGUAUUGCAGUUGCUGCUGAUGUUAGUUAAGCACCAACCCAAAACCUAAAAAAUUUAUUUGCCAACAACUCUGGACUUCGACCUCCAUCUUGCUUCACUCAUCAUCAUCGUCAUCAACAAUCUCAGUUUUUUUUUUACCUCUUAACCUUCAUAUUACAAGGCUCUCAUCUUUUAGGUACUAUCAUCAUAUUUGACUCCACAAGCAAUCCGCUUAAGGUUUUUUUUUUUUUUUUUUUUUUUUUUUUUUUUUUUUUUGAGAGAGAUAGGUAGCACGCAACCCGUUUCGUUUAUUUUACUUAGAAAUAAACUUAGCUGGAAAUGUGAAUCAACUAGGAUUCGAACUUGGGAUCUCGGAUAUCAAUUACUAAGCCCUUCGCCACUUGCUCUAGAAACGAUCGGAAAGAUAAGAAAUAAUUAAAAUUAGAAUGAAGUUGUCGUAAAAUUCCUACUAGUUUUCUUUACACUUUUGAUCCUCCAACUAUAAGGCGAGUGGUAUUUUGGUCUUUAAAUUUUAAUUUAUUGCAGUUUCUAGUUUGAACAUACUGAAGUAUUAUAAUUAAGUCCCACACCCUAAUUUAGCCGACGAAAUAUCGUCAUAUCGCUGAUAUGAAAGUGAUAUAGUAGUGAUGUAUUCGAUGACACAACAAUAAUUAAAAUAACAUAUUGAAACUACGUACUAAAGUUUAGUCCACUAAACAAUUUGAACCAAAAAUUAUAAUAAAUUAAAAUUUGAGAACUAAACGGCCGCAGCGCCUCGUAGUUUGAGAACCAAAAGUGUGAUUUAGCCGAGAUUAUAAAAAGCAAUAAUGAAGAGAAGCGGAUAACAACAGAGCGAGGCCAAAAAAGAGGUCAAAACACAUCACAUGACUACUUUCCUAUGUAGCUGAACAACCACACCAACCACUGGAAAGUCUCAUAUCAAAUCAUCUCAACUAAUUAUAUAUAUGACCAAAUAUGAAAAGAAAAGUGCUAAAUGUAAAUUCCGUACUGCAUCCAAGAAUUUUUAAAACUCCUUUGUGUUCUUGGUCAAAAAAUAAUAAUAAUAAUAAGACGAAUGAAUGCAUCUUACCUAAGCUAUACAACUACAUAUAACUCCAACGCUAUUGCAAAUUGUGGUUCGCCACAGCUCUGAAUUUGGAGCUUUUGCAACCUUUCUCUGUCCCUGCAUCGCACUGUAAAAAGCGAUCCCCUGAGAGGCCGCUUACACACUGCACCCUAGAGAAAGGAACUAGGAAUACAAAGGCGACAACGGAAGUGAGAAUGAGCGAGAGAUAAAGGAAACAAAAAUUAAACAAAGGCAAGAUUCAGAUGUAACAUCAAAGCAGCAUACGUCUUACCUAAGCUAUACAACAGUUUCAAUUCAUUCAAGUGAUAGUCAGAAAUAUCAUUGUUUGAACUGAGCUCGUGCUUUUGUUUCCAUAAAACUGAUAGAAUAUGCAAGAGUCAUCAGAUUAAAACUAUACAUCAAUAACUAAAGAGCAGCAAAUAACAUUACUUUUCUCGAGAAAGCAGAUGAGAAGCGCUUAUUCCCUUAGUCCAACUCUGAGUUUUCUAAAUCUCAUAUCCCAGUUGGUAUUUCUGCUCGAGCAGAGAGGAAUAUGGGCACGAGAGUACAGUCUGAUCAAGAUGGCGAUCCUUUUUCAUCUUUUUCCUGAUCACGUGGAGAGGGGAGGAGAGACAGACAGCAAUCCAAAUUCUUGAUCCCAUCAAACGGGUUCGAGGUCAUGGGAGAUUGACCACUUGCUAUCACUAAUGGACGCACAUCCUCCCAUUGAAUUCUGCAUUUCUUAUCCAUCACCUGGCCAAUCCUGAGCACAUCAGGCGGUGAGAUAGAAGCACAGAAGGCCCUAGGUUUUAAGAAGCACAGUAGCUGGAGUAUGAGAUAAGAAACCAAAUUUUACAGACCAAAUCAGGACAGUUUCUCCAACUUUUUAUUUUCUUGUCCACUAGCAAACCACGAAGCAAUAUCAUCAUCGUCGUCAUCACUAGUUUGAUCCAAAUCUAAGCUACUUGGACGAGAACCACAACUCAAAACCCCAUUAAUUACUUUUGAUUCCCUCUCGGAGAGCCCUUUGCUUCUCUUGUACACAUCUUCCUUCCACUUCAGUCUUGCUUUAGGGUCUUGAGAAACAGCACUGUUACCUCCUAUUAUAGGAAAAUUAUCAAUAUCCAUGGCACGUUUCCAUGAAUCAAUAUCAUUGCCAUCAUCUUCGUCAUCAUCAUCCAUGGAGCUCCAUGAAUCUGAGUCACUCUCCAGUGAUUGACUCUUCUUUGGAGAAAUAUGUUGCCUAUCAGAUCCAGUGCUCUCUCUAACAAAUGAGAAAGGAGAAUGCUUACUACGUGCUUGACCAUCAAGGUGGGUUCCGGAAAUCUCUUGAUUGUUUAAUGCUUUUGGCCGCUUCCAGUUACAUCUCAAACACAGCGCAUUCCUUCGGAAGUUAACAUAAUUGCACCUGAAAAAUGGGAUUAUACAGAUUUCGCUUUCAAUUAUUACUAAAAGACAGAUAUUUACAUAGUUGACCACCUGCAAAGAUAUCUAUUUUACAUAUACAAAUGAGCAAAAAAUGAAUUUCCAUUUGGGUCCUCCAAAACCAAGGUUUCUCAGAUAAACAACCUCUCACUUAUGCAAAAUGCCCUUCUUUAGGAAAACAUUUACUAAAACUAUACCAGGUUCCCCCCAUGAAUAGGAUCCCCAACUUAAGGGUACUUUUGCAAGAAGUUGCAUUUUCAAGUGUUCAACAUGAAACUCAGAUUAUACAGGGGUACGGAAUAGAAAAUGUUGCAGGGAAAUAUAUUUAACAGCACCGAAGUAAAUAAAUACAUUUGAUGUUCUAUUGACCUACUAUGUUGACUAGUUGGCUUUUGUAAACUACCAUAUACUAGUUGGCUUUUGUAAACUACCAUACUUAGAGGUUAUGCUAUAUGAUUUAAUAUAUUGCCAGUAAUUCUUCUACCAUGACACAACAUACUUAAAAUGAGGUCCCAGGAAACUGAAGAAGAAAAGAAACAGGGAAAUGAUUUGGGUACCCACAAAGGGCCCCCUGUAGGCUGCUAGUGCGCUGGCAAACCAUGUGGUGCCUUGAAAUGCAUGCCUGAACCAGUCAAAACCCCCAACAUAAUGUAUGCCAAGUUGCCAACACAACAGCAGCCCGUAAGUGCAACAUUCUAGGGGACCUGCACAGAAUUGAAAGAAUUAGGAGUAACUUACGAAGGACAUUCCCACUCCCCCAGAUUUAGUAGACGAUUGGUUGGUUUCUCAUGGCAUUGCAAGCAUUUUGUGUUCUUCGCAAAGUUGAAGAAAUUGCACCUGUAGAGGGAGCUAAUAUUAUUAAAGAAGACAGUGGGUCGAUAAGAUAUGUGAGGAAUUCAAGAUAUCAGUAACCUCACUUUUUACAUAUCCAAUCUCCUUUUUUGAGAGGCAGAUGUUCUUGAUCCUCGUGCAGCAUCUUAUAUCUCUCUUGGAAUUCCCCGUUGCAGUGCAAGCAUUUGAUGUUCUUUGCAAAGUUCAUAAAGUUACACCUAACAACCAAGCCAUCAAUCAGAAAAGAUAUAAUAGAGAAAAAAAAAAUACUACAAGAAAUAAAAAAUGUUCUAACAAAUAUACUUGGGACAAAUCCAGUCACCCUGCUUCAUUGGGAUAGCCGAUUGCCCCGAGACCAUAGUCUUUUCAGUACCAGAGCCAAAUUCCUUGAAACCGAGUUCGACCAUUUCCUUUAAAAGUUUCUUAAUGGAGUCCUUCACAGUUUUGUUUACGCAAGAUUGGUUUAUCACCGAGCCCAUGAUACUAUCAAGUCCAUAAGUCAAUAAGACACGCAUGACAUCAAUAGUUCUUCCAACUUCCUUUUUUUGAGCUUUUACAUAAGCUCUCUCACAGUUUCCUCGUAAACUGCAUCGGCUGCAAACCUGUGAGGCAAAUAUUAAAUUGUGAAGAUAAACAAAUAGAUUGUUUUUUUCCUGAGGACUUUUACAUAUAUGUCCCUCCAAAUUCACAUAGUCACAUAUAUUGCUGCGUAAACUCUGAAUUUUCAUAUACCUUCACAAAAGCAUAAUUUCUUGUAAAAAUCCCUCAAAUUGGGGACUCAUCCAGAUUCUAGAACUGGGGGAAUUUCGUAUGUAUAAGAUAGAGGUUUUCGAAGAGAGGCAAUUUUGUAAGUACAAGGGCAUUUAUGCAAGAAAUUAAAUCUUUGAUGCGCAAAUAAAAUAUGUCACAUAAACGAUAUAUUUUAGGAACAUAGCAGAGACGAUCUCUGCAGUGUUAUGGGAACUUACAUCUCCUUCAUCAAUGCCCACAUGUGCCCUUAAACGCUUCCCUGAAUUGACAACUUUUCUGUCUAUGCUGGGGCAUCCACAUUGCACAACGAUGUAAAUAUCCUUUCUCGAUAAAUACCUGCAUGAAUACAAUAUAUGGGAGAAGAUACUGAAAUUUUUUGAUAUAAUAGAAUAUAAGGGAUAAAACAAGGUUUAAAGUGUCGUGGCAUGGGGGUGUGCUACUCUUUCCCUGGCACGAUACAGCACAGGCAUGCUUUCGUGCCGAUGGAUACGCAUGAUCUCCUACUGGCACGCUUUGGUACCAAUUUAUUUCAGUUUUUUUGUUCCAAUAAGUUCUUAAAAUGUUAAUUUAAAAGAUUUAGAUAAAUAAUUAUGAAUAUUUGCUAUGUAUAGCUUACUAUACUCAUCAAUUAACAUACAUGUAAGCUUUUUGUAUGUAAAAUAUAAUUAUACCUAAUGUAGAAUAGAAAAUUAAAAUACAAUAAUAAAAUUCUAAAGUACAAUAAUUAUUUAAAUUUAUGUCUUUAUAUAGAGAUGACUGCUUAAUUUCACAUAAAUUUCGCGGUAGAUCAUAUGGCAUAUUGUCAUCUGCAGAUACAAGAUUUAUUUGACAAUGUUGAUAUAAAUAUUGUUGGUAUUGUGAGAAAGUCAUAUAUUUCCGGUAUAUUUCAUUAUAUUGUCGUAGAUAAUCUGCAUAUGCAAUUGGAUCGUGAAUGUAAUGGAUAACAGUCAUGUGUGGCGUAUGGACUGAAACAUCAUAAGGAUAAAGAUAAGGAUUGUACGGAAUAGAAAAACUAUAAUGUCGGUAUGCAUACGUAUCAGUGGAUGUAAGAUUCGCCAUAUAAGCUUUCACUAUAUGAAGGUACAGAUGGUUAGUAAUCGGAUUGUUGUUGCUCCAAUUGAUGCGAGAUGAAUUGGAUUGUUGUUGCUCCAAUUGAUGCGAGAUGAAUUGAUAUUCACUUGGAGUGCCAUGAAUUGAUACAUUAUAAUCAAAUAUCCCUUCAUAAAGGCCAUGUUGAUAUGAGGGAUACGAUGAUACCGAAGUACUAUCAAACUGUGUGUGCAAAGUAUCAUCCCUUCGUGGAUGUCUAGUUGAUAUUGCCUCCAAACUUUCUCUCAUAUCCCUAUAAUCUUGUUGUGAGAACCUCUUAUCUUUUCUACGAUUAUAUACCACUUCAGAUGUUUGACGUGGUCAAGACCCAUGAUCAGCAUCUUGAGUGGCAUGUGUGAAGUUUUGCUCUUCAGUAAAUAUAAGACCAUCCCCACCCUCCUGUUGUGUUGGUGGAAUGAAGUCGCCACCAUUCUCACUGCUAUCAAUGGUAUCAUCAUCAUCAUUACAUUCAUCUUUAGACCGUGAUAACCCAGAAUAUGCUGGCGUCGAUGUAUCACUAUCAUCAUCUUGUGGGAGUGCAUCAGUUGCAUCUAAUGGAUUCAUCAAGAUCAUACUUUUUUUACUCUUACCACUUCGGAAUUUCGUUGAAGACCUCUUUGCGAUAAGAGUUUUCUCCUUUCCAGAUUGACUCUGAGUACGACGUGGGCAACCAUGUCCAGGUUCUUAUAUAAGAUGUUCAAAUUCUACAUUAGAGUCAUCUGCAGGAUUUUGGGAUUUUUCGUCUAAAGCUGUUUGUUCUUGCACAUUACCUUGAGACCUUCCUAUAUUCUCGUCAACCCAUCUUUUAAUAUCACUAAUUGCUGCUUCCUCAGCGAUUAUUCUAAAUGGUCGUGGUGGAUCUCCGAGCUAAUCAAGUAAUGGGUUCUCUUGAUUGUCUCUAUCUUGUAGUCAAUCAAGUAUGGGGUCUGAUUCAUCAUUUGAUAAAGCCUACAUCCAAGGGAUCAUAAGUUUUUUAUUCCAUUUCCUCAUGCUACUCCUCUUGCAUGCAUUUUAAAUGGAGCCUUAUAUUAUAGUGGAUAUAAAUUAGUUUCUCUAAUCGAGCGUAUGCUAAUCGGUUUCGCACUUUGGUAAGUAUCAGUGCGAAUGUGCUCCAGUUGUGUUUACAUUCACUAGACAUUGUCGUUUGACAUAAGACACGCACAACAAUCUUUUUUAAAUGCUUUGCCGAUCCACCAUGUUGUAACCACCACUCAGCUGCACAAUGAAAAGUUAAAAACAUAUCAAAUUAAUUUAUCGUCGAGUGUAAAAUGUCCCAAUUAUGGAGUUACUUAUUAGAAUCGAUAUUGUGUCUUUUGUUAAUUGUACCCUUUUCGCCAAAAGUUUCAGAGGAUUUACGAAAAAUAUUUAUAACAAAUUAAUCAGCAAUCAACAUAUUAACAUUAAGUAAAUUAAUAAUACAUUGAAAAAGCAAUUAUACCGUAUUUAUGGCAAGAGCGGCAUGUGUUGGAUCACUCUCCAAUCUAUUGAUGACGAUUCGUAGUGCCGUUAAUAGCUCAUCAUCAAAUCCCAGAUUAUAAUGAUUGUGGUACAACGGAUGAAGAUAAUAACCUAUCAUUAAUAAAGAAAUCACUCCAUUAACAAUGCGAGAAUACAAAUGAACAAUUACUAACAAAUAGUUUUGUUAUAAUUUAUAACUUUACUACUAGGUGUAGAUCCCUACUCAUCUGGACAUUCCAACGCCUGUCAAUAAUUUUUAGAUAAGAUUGACACCGCAACGGAUUUUUUUUUUUGAUAUUAUCUUUAGCCAUCCUUAGUUUAUAAUAGGCAUGUCCUAUUUGAGAAAUUUUUUCUUGGUCUACUAAACAGAGGACCGUCAUAGCGACUCCACAGUAUCAACAAUCUUUUUCAUAUAAUCCCAAAACUCGGCGGACAGAAUUAUUUGCUCAAUCGAUAUUCCAUCAGCUAUGGAGGCAUACUGAGAUGUUUGUCAUUCAUCUGAUGCAAACAUAAACUUUAAUCCAUUUUUAUUUUGAAGGAUACUAUUUAAAGCAAUAAAAUUUGUGGCAAAUCGUUUGAUACUACGGCUUACGAGUUCUCGUCCUGUGAAUUUCACCAUCAAAGCAUGGACCCAAAGAUGAAUAUACAAAUACUUAGAUACACGUUGUGCAGUAUCUAUAGUUUUUUUCACCCGAUUUAUUUCACCAAAGUCAGAUAUCAUUAGGUUGAUGCAAUACGCUCUACAAGGAGUCCAAAAUAAAUGUGAAUGCUUUUGCAUUAGUAGUUUGUCAGGUUUCUCUAAGUUUAUACUAUUGUUUGAUACAACUUGUACCAUACAUUUCUCACCAACCUCACCUAAAACUUAUUCCAAUAAUGCAUAUAUGUAGUCAGUAUUAUCAAAUCGACUGGUCGCAUCGACUGAUUUGUGAAAGACCAUCCUACCGUUACAAUAAAUUAAAAAAUUUAUAAUGCUCAUUUUUGUCGAUCCUGUCUAACUAUCACACAUCAAGGUAAUAUCAUACAUCUCCCAUUGUUGUUUGAAAUUUUUUACCUGGUGCAUGAAUAUCAUUGACCUCCGCAUCAAGGUAUUUGCCAGCAAUAUAAGACGUUGGGGUUCAACUCUUGGACCCUCCUUUUGUAUGGUAGCGAUCAUUGAUCUAUAAUAUGGAGUGCUUGCUGCAUGAGAAGGAAUAUGACUGAAGUGAAAAAAAAUUUGCUAUUGCACGACUAAUUUUGUCUUUUUUAUCUUUUUUAGCAUUGUAUUUAUGCGCUGUUGUUGAGCAUCCAGGCCAGAAAAUGCCAUUGGGUCUAUAUCUAUAAUAUUUGGAUGUCUUCCACUUUUUUCUUUUGGUUCUUUUUUAAAUCUUUCGAACAUGCGGCUAACAGAACCACUUCGAAAUGCCAUUAGGUUUAGCUCGAAGUGGUCCUAUUAGCCGUAUGUUCGACAGAUUUUAAAAAAAAAAAAACCAAAAGAAAAAAGUGGAAGACAUCCAAAUAUUAUAAAUAUAGACCCAAUGGCAUUUCCUUGCCCGGAUGCUCAACAACAGCGUAUAGAUACAAUGCUAAAAAAGAUUAAAAAAAAAAAAACAGAAUUGGUCAAGCAAUAACAAAGUUUUUUCACUUCAAUCAUAUUUCUUCUCAUGCAGCAAAUACUCCAUAUUAUAGAUCAAUGAUCGCUACCAUACAAAAGAAGGGUCCAAGAGUUGAACCCCAAUGUCGUAUGAGAUCGCUGGCAAAUACCUUGACGUGGAGGUCAAUGAUAUUCAUGUAUGGGUAAAAAACUUCAAACAACAGUGGGAGAUGUAUGGUGUUACCUUGAUGUGUGAUAGUUAGACAAGAUCGACAAAAAUGGGCAUUAUAAUUUUUUAAUUUAUUGUAAUGGUAAGGUGGUCUUCCACAAAUCAGUCGAUGCGACCGGUCGAUUUGAAAAUGCUGACUACAUAUAUGCAUUGUUUUAACAAGUUUUAGGUGAGAUUGGUGAGAAAUAUAUUGUACAAGUUGUAUCGGAUAAUAGUACAAACUUCAAGAAACCUAAAAAACUAAUAAUGCAAAAGAAUCCACAUUUAUUUUGGACUCCUUGUAGAGCGCAUUGCAUCAACCUAAUGAUGUUUGACUUUGGUGAGAUAAAUCGGGUGAAAAAAACUAUAGAUACUACACAACGUGUAUCUAAGUAUUUGUAUAAUCAUCUUUAUGUCCAUGUAUUGAUGGUGAAAUUCAUAGAACAAGAACUCGUAAGUCUUGGUAUCACACGACUUGCUACAAAUUUUAUUACUUUAAACAGUAUCCUUGAAAAUAAAAAUGGAUUAAAGUUUAUAUUUGUAUCACAUGAAUGGCAAACAUCUCGAUAUGCCUUCACGGCUGAUGGAAAAUCGAUUGAGCAAAUAAUUCUGUCUGCCGAGUUUUGGGAUUAUGUAAAAAAGAUUGUUGAUAAUGUGGAGCCACUAUGCAUGAUCCUCCAUUUACUGGACCAGAAAAAAAUAGCUCAAAUGGGACAUGCCUAUUAUAAACUGAGGAUGGCUAAAGAUAAUAUCAAAAAAAAAAAUCCGUUGCGGUGUCAAUCUUAUCUAAAAAUUAUCGACAGGCGUUGGGAUGUCCCGAUGAGUCGGGAUCUACACCUAGCAGGAAAGUUAUAAAUUAUAACACAACUAUUUGCUAGUAAUUGUUCAUUUAUAUUCUCGCAUUGUUAAUUGAGUGAUUUUUUUCUUAAUGAUAGGUUAUUAUCUUAAUCCGUUGUACCACCAUCGUUAUAAUUUUGGAUUUAAUGAUGAGCUAUUGAAGGCAUUACGAAACAUUAUCAAUAGAUUGGAGAGUGAUCCAACACAUGCCGCUCUUGCCAUAAAUAAGGUAUAAUGGCUUUUUCAAUGAAUUAUUAAUUUGCUCGAUGCUAAUAUGCUAAUUGCUAAUUAAUUUGCCAUAAAUAUUUUUCGUAAAUCCUUUGAAACUUUACACCCGACGAUAAAUUUAAUUUGAUAUAUUUUUAACUUUUAAUUGUACAACAGAGUGAUGGUUACAAUAUGGUGGAUCAGCAAAGCAUUUAAAAAAUAUUGUUGUGCGUGUCUUAUCUCAAACGACAACGUCUGGUGGAUAUGAACGCAACUGGAGCACAUUCGCACUGAUACAUACCAAAGUGCGAAACCAAUUAGCAUACGCUCAAUUAGAGAAGCUACUUUAUGUCCACUAUAAUAUGAGGCUCCGGUUAAGAUGCAUUGCAAGAAGAGUAGUAUAAGAAAAUGAAAUUUAAAACUUAUGAUCCCCUGAAUGCAAGCUUUAUUAAUGAUGAAUCAGACCCCAUACUUGAUUAGCUAUCUGCAAGAAGAGUAGUAUAAGAAAAUGAAAUUUAAAACUUAUGAUCCCCUGAAUGCAAGCUUUAUUAAUGAUGAAUCAGACCCCAUACUUGAUUAGCUAUAAGAUAGAAACAAUCAAGAGGACCCAUUAUUUGAUGAGCCCGGAGAUCCACCACGACCAUUCAGAAUAAUCGCUGAGGAAGCAGCAAUUAGUGAUGUUGAAAAAUAGGCUGACGAGAAUAUAGAAAGGUCUUAAGAUAAUGUGCAAGAACAAACAGCUUUGGACGAAAAUUUUCAAAAUCCUGCAGAUGACUCUAAUGUAGAAUUUGAACAUCUUAUACAAGGACCUGGACAUGGUCGCCCACGUCGUACUCAGAGUCAAUCUGGAAAGGAGAAAACAUCUUAUAUCGCAAAGAGAUCUUCAACGAAAUUCCGAAGUAGUAAGAGUAAAAAAAGUAUGACCUUGAUGGAUCCAUUAGAUGCAACUAAUGCACUCCCACAAGAUGAUGAUAGUGAUACAUCGACGCCAGCAGAUUCUGGAUUACCACGAUCUAAAGAUAAAUGUAGUGAUGAUGAUGAUACCAUUGAUAGCAGUGAGAAUGGUGGCAACUUUAUUCCAUCAACACAAUAGGAAGGUGGGGGUGGUCUUAAUGUCUUAUAUUUACUGAAGAGCAAAACUUCACACAUGCCACUCAAGAUGCUGAUCAUGGGUCCCGACCACGUCAAACAUCUGAAGUGGUAUAUGAUCGUAGAAAAGAUAAGAGGUUCUCACAACAAGAUUAUAAAGAGAUAAGAAAAGGUAUGGAGGCAGUAUCAACUAGACAUCCACGAAGGGAUGAUAGUAUGAUACUUUGCACACACAGUUUGAUAGUACUUCGGUAUUAUCGUAUCCCUCAUAUCAACAUGGCCUUUAUGGAGGGAUAUUUGAUUAUGAUGCAUCAAUUCAUGGCACUCCGAGUGAAUACCAACUUAUCUCGCAUCAAUUGAAGGAACAACAAUCUGAUUACUAUCCAUCUGUACCUUCAUAUAGUGAAAGCUUAUAUAGUGAAUCUAUAUCCACCGAUACGUAUGCAUACCCACAUUAUAGUUCCUUUAUUCCGUACAAACCUUAUCUUUAUUCUUACGAUGUUUCAGUCCAUAUGCCACACUGACUGUUAUCCAUUACAUUCACGAUCCAGUUGCAUAAUGCAGAUUAUCUACGACAAUACAAUGAAAUAUACCGAAAAUAUAUGACUUUCUCACAAUACCAGCAAUAUUUAUAUCAACAUUGUCAAAUAAAUCUUGUAUCUACAGAUGACAAUAUGCCAUACGAUCUAUUGUGACGAUCUAUGUGGAAUUAAGCAAUCAUCUCUAUGUGAAGAUGUAAAUUUAAAUAAUUAUUGUACUUGUAAAUCUUAUUAUUGUAUUUUAAUUUAUAUUCUACAUCAGGUAUAGUUGUACUUUAGAUACAAAAAACUUAUAUAUAUGUUAAUUGAUGAGCAUAGUAAGCUAUACAUAACAAAUAUUCAUAAUUAUUUGUCUAAAUCUUUCAAAAUAAUAUUAUAAGAGUUUACUGGAACUAAAAAAAUUAAAAUAAGUCCGUACUAAAGCGUGCAAGUAGGAGGUCAUGCGUAUCCAUCGGCACGCAAGAGUACCACGUGUCGGCACAGAAGCUUGCCUGUACCGUACCGUGCCAGGGAAAGAGCAGCACGCCCCCGUGCCAGGACACUUUAAAUCUUGACGACUAUCCGGAGCUUUUGCUGCGAAAAAAAGUUAAAAGGAUUUUAAACCCCUAAAGCAGAAGGUCAAAUUUGGAUCUUCCAGUUCAACUGCAGAGAAAGGUUGUUAGGGAAUUAAGGGCUUGUUUGGCCCUACUGUAUGGUGUAGUAUUUCUUUAUGAAGUGUUGGUUGAGCAGUACUAUUAGAAGAAGCAUUAAAUUAAAGCACCCAUAAACAACUCAUGUCUAUAGCAUUAGUGGAAGCACCAAAUUAGAGCUUCUCCUAAUAGCACUUCUCAAAGUAGCACUCCAUGAUGAGCACAACACACUAUAUAGCAGGGUCAAACGCUCUCAAGACUGUUAAACGUAGCAUUUACUAUAAACAAAAUCACGCAAGUUCUUCUACUACUUACUUUCUGAAACAUGCUUGAUUCUUGAACAAUAUUACCAUCACUAACUACAAUUUCAAUAUAAUAAUUCAUUACGCUCAAAGUAGAGCCAUAUUAUUUUGUCUCAUUUAAGAAUUUCCAAAAUCUAUCUAACACUAUUGCAUUAUAGAACUUAGUGCAUUAAUUCCCUGUGGACUUUAGCAUUUCUGCCAGUGGCCUCCUAAAGUUGCAAUUUUGGUAAUAAGCUACCCUAAACAUUGUCAAAUAGCUCAAUAUAUAUGCCCUUCCCUUAAGUAACAUUACUAAUUGAACAGCCGUUUUAGUCGCAUAUCUUGCACAUGAUCUUGUAAAGUUUCAAAAUACAAAAAAACAUACUUCUUCUCUUCUAGCGAAUGAAAUAAAAGAAUCUUAGAGUGAAGAAUACUUUUUUCCGAGUUCUAAAACUUUACAAGAUCACAUGCAAACUUGUGACAAGCACUGCAAUCUAAUUAGCAACUUCACUUGAUGAGAGAAACUAUUGAACUACCAGAUAAAGUUUAGGAAGCUAAUAGCAAAUAUUAAAAGCUUAGGGGUUUAUAAGUGCUGAAGUUCGGAAAACCUACAUAGCUAUCAAGUUAACUUAAUACCUAAAUGGUUGUUCAAUAUAUGCACUCCAUGUGAUGUGGAGAAACAAGCGAUUCCCAAAAUGCAACUGAGCUCUUUGGGACAAUUCAACAAACACAUUGUACGCUCGGCAAUUUACGACACCCAUAUGCACUACGUCAUCAUCAAUUCAAGUACUAGAGAGAGCUCAACAUAUGAUCGCUGUUAACUCCAAAAUUACACUUUUUUAAUGCAUCAAAGGCGAGAUCAAACAAAACAAAAAAUCCAUCUCAUUCACCUGAUGAGAUCAGCGCGAUCCCUAGCGAAACUGAGGCAUGCGGUGCGGAUAUGGUUCGAAUCCUUCGCCCCAUCGGGAGAAACAGGAGACAAAGCGGCGGGAUCCAAGUGCCCCUUCUUGAGGAGGAGCUCCAUGAGCUCCACCCACUCCGGCCAUGGAUGGGACACCUCCACCUCCCUCCCUCCUUCGACUCUUCGUCUUCCUCCUCCUCCUCCUCCUCCUCCACCACAACCACCACCUACUACUCUUUCUCUACGCCCUUCUAGGGUUUGAUCGGGUUCGAAUGGAGGGGAGCGGAGGUGCUCGAGCUCGCGGCGAACGAAGCGGAGACGGGGAGAGGGGAGGGGGGAAUGGGAGAGGAGGCGGCGGCGGCCGCGGAGGAGGGCAUGGGGUGGGAUCAGCGUUACGGCGGCGGUGACCCGACGGUACAUUCACCGGGCAGCGGUGGGAACCUUCAAUCAGAGGAUUGUUUGUAUGGGAAAUAUCUAUUACUAUCUAUUUAUUUUACUAUAUACUAAAGUCGGUGGACUAAUGUUUCUAUACUGCCCGUGUCUUCUGACAGCCUUCGGUGCACCUGGUGCAUCAUAGACCACCCUUCCCUCCUCUCUCUCCCUUUCUCUCUCUAUAUAUAUAUAUAUAGGCUGAGGCUACUAUAUUCUUAUGAGUAUAGAUCCUCUUAUACUCAUAAAUUUUUAACCGUUGAUUGAUGGGAUGUGUGGUUAGGAUGAUGAUGGUUCCCACUUAAAAUGAUAGUGGUCCAGUAGGUAGUUGGUUGAAUAGUAUGAUCUAAUGGAUGAAAAUGAUCAAUAGAAUAAAUCUAAGGGCAAAAAACUUAUGAGCAUACGGGAGUCAAUACUCAUAAAAGUAUAGUAGCCGGACUCAUAUCUAUACAAUCUUACUAUUUGAGAUUCCUAUCCAGCCACGUGGCAGGUUCUCAUUGCCCCUUCUUUUGCUCCAGAUCCAACGGUCUACCACAGUUCUUUAGAAAUCCAAAGGUGCCCGAAACAUGCCCUUUCCCUUUCCCAACAAGCGCUCAAUCUGCGCCGUCCAUUUUGUUCAUCAGAUGGCUCCCUUCCCCCUCCCCUCCGCGCAUUCCUUGCGCGUGCCUCCUCCAAUACCCGAAGCGCCUCUCUCUCUCUCUCAUCGCCUCUCUCUCUCCCUCUCACAACGUCUCUCUCUCUCUCUUACCGCCUCUCUCUCUCUCCUCUGUCCCCUCCAUCCUCUCCUCCCUUUGCUCCUCUGAUGCCUGAGCUGUCCAACGUUAGGCAUCAUGAUUCGGUCGCCUACACCUACCCUACUUGGCCGAUCCAAUCGUUCAAGUUGCUACGCUCGCCGAUCCAACGGCCGCUGUUACCUCCUCUCUCCCCCUGGUCGCCGGUACUACUCUUUACUAUUGUUGAAGCAUAAAAAAAAAGAAAGAGGAAUAAAAGAAAAAAAAAAAAAGGGGAGAGAAAGAAAUAAAAAUUAGAGAUGGUUUAUGAGAUUAUCCAUGCACCAGGUGCAUGGAUAAAAUUUAAAUUUUGAAAAUAUCUCAUGCACCGGAUUGGAAAAAAAUAAUACGUACGGGUAUAUAAAAUAGCAUAUUAGUCUAUUCCCUUUUAUAUAUUUACAAAAUGCCCCACCUUAAUCAAGGUGUAAUAUGAUCAAAGGGAAAGGACUAAUCCGCAAUAUUCCCGCAAUCCCAUCAUAACCGUCCAAAAUACCCCACAAUCUCAUCUCAACCAUCCAAAAUCCCUCCCACGUCCCACGAUAUUUUUGUAACAACCCAUACCCACAUCACGUUCUCCACGCACGAUCUUCAUCAACCACCCGCAUUCCACUCACAAUCCCACAACCCCGUAACCGCCUCAGCACGCUUCCCUCAAAUCGCUCGCGCACUCCCUCAAGUCGGUGACAAAACCACCCAUAAAUACCCGUGAAGAAAAAUCGCAGAAAGAGAGUUCUUUGAAUCUUCGAAAUCUAAUCAGAAAAAUAUCCACCCCGAUUCUGUC